AGUCGAGGGUAUAGGUUUUCGGACCUAGAGACCGGCGCACGGGUGCGUAACGCGUAUGCAAUCUACCUUUCACAGAGGGAUAGCCCAGAGAAAUUUGGAUUAAUACCUCAUAGUAUAAUGAGUUGGCAUCAACAUAUUAUUAAAGUCACAACGGUGAAAGAUGAGCAUGCGUCCCAUUAGCUAGUUGGUAAGGUAACGGCUUACCAAGGCUACGAUGGGUAGGGGUCCUGAGAGGGAGAUCCCCCACACUGGUACUGAGACACGGACCAGACUCCUACGGGAGGCAGCAGUGAGGAAUAUUGGUCAAUGGGCGCAAGCCUGAACCAGCCAUGCCGCGUGCAGGAUGACGGUCCUAUGGAUUGUAAACUGCUUUUGUACGGGAAGAAACAACGAUUCGUGAAUCGUCUUGACGGUACCGUAAGAAUAAGGAUCGGCUAACUCCGUGCCAGCAGCCGCGGUAAUACGGAGGAUCCAAGCGUUAUCCGGAAUCAUUGGGUUUAAAGGGUCCGUAGGCGGUUUAGUAAGUCAGUGGUGAAAGCCCAUCGCUCAACGGUGGAACGGCCAUUGAUACUGCUAGACUUGAAUUAUUAGGAAGUAACUAGAAUAUGUAGUGUAGCGGUGAAAUGCUUAGAGAUUACAUGGAAUACCAAUUGCGAAGGCAGGUUACUACUAAUGGAUUGACGCUGAUGGACGAAAGCGUGGGUAGCGAACAGGAUUAGAUACCCUGGUAGUCCACGCCGUAAACGAUGGAUACUAGCUGUUGGGAGCGAUCUCAGUGGCUAAGCGAAAGUGAUAAGUAUCCCACCUGGGGAGUACGUUCGCAAGAAUGAAACUCAAGGAAUUGACGGGGGCCCGCACAAGCG
This 863-nucleotide ribosomal RNA is filed under the name uncultured Bacteroidota bacterium. RNAcentral's name for it is "bacterial SSU rRNA". It matches the Rfam family "Bacterial small subunit ribosomal RNA", at positions 60 to 931 of the family's 1533-position model. Lineage: Bacteria; Pseudomonadati; Bacteroidota. The record is from RNAcentral.